GAUGAACGCUGGCGGCGUGCCUAAUACAUGCAAGUCGAGCGAACAGACGAGGAGCUUGCUCCUUCGACGUUAGCGGCGGACGGGUGAGUAACACGUAGGUAACCUACCUAUAAGACUGGGAUAACUUCGGGAAACCGGAGCUAAUACCGGAUAAUAUUUCGAACCGCAUGGUUCGAUAGUGAAAGAUGGCUUUGCUAUCACUUAUAGAUGGACCUGCGCCGUAUUAGCUAGUUGGUAAGGUAACGGCUUACCAAGGCAACGAUACGUAGCCGACCUGACAGGGUGAUCGGCCACACUGGAACUGAAACACGGUCCAGCCUCCUACGGGAGGCAGCAGUAGGCAAUCUUCCGCACUGGGCGAAAGCCUGACGGAGCAACGCCGCGUGAGUGAUGAAGGUCUUCGGAUCGUAAAACUCUGUUAUUAGGAAAGAACAAACGUGUAAGUAACUGUGCACGUCUUGACGGUACCUAAUCAGAAAGCCACGGCUAACUACGUG
RNAcentral lists this ribosomal RNA (497 nucleotides) under uncultured bacterium. RNAcentral describes it as "partial 16S ribosomal RNA". It matches the Rfam family "Bacterial small subunit ribosomal RNA", at positions 28 to 507 of the family's 1533-position model. The record is from RNAcentral.